This 963-nucleotide long non-coding RNA is filed under the name Gallus gallus (chicken). RNAcentral describes it as "lncRNA (ENSGALG00010028310.1)". Lineage: Eukaryota; Metazoa; Chordata; Aves; Galliformes; Phasianidae. The record is from RNAcentral.
CAAUGAUGAAAAAAGAAAAGAAAAAAUAAGAACAAAAAAUAUGAAAUAAGAGAAAAAUAAAAGAAAAAUAAGAAAAAGAGAAAAAAUGAAAAGAAAAAGAGAAAAAAUGAACGAAAUGAAUAAAAUAGAGAAAAGAAAAAAGGAAAUGAACAAAAAAGAGAAAAAAGAGAAAAGAAAAAAAUGAACAAAAAAGAGAAAAAAGAGAAAAGCUAAAAAAAGAAAAAAGAUAAAGAAAAAAGAAAAAAGAUAAAAUAGAAAUAAAAAAGAGGACAGAAAAAUAUGAAAAAAAAGAAAAAAGAAAAAAAGAAAAGAAAAAAAUAAUAGAUGAAAAAAGAGAAAACGAAAGGAAAAAUGGUUAAUGGCAAGAGAAGAAAGGUAAAGAGAAAAGAAGAAAACAGCCAAGUCAAAAAGUAAAGAAUAACUCGAAGGAAGGAGUGGAUGGCAAGAAAUACAGGGAAAGCAAUGCAUAGCACAGCAAAGCAAAGCAAGGCAAAAUAGCAGCCAAAGCCACGAGAAUCAAGAACUCAGUGAAGAGCAGGAAAGGAAUGGAGGAAUCUGGCCAGAGCUGUGCCCCUGCUUGCCACAGGAGCUGCGCAGGAGGAGAAGAAUGUGGGCCAAAAGGUGUUCCACUUUGGCUUUGUAUGACACAGUGGACGAGAGGGUACGGCGUUCAGUGGAACAAACGCUGCAGACCCUGGGGAGAAUCAAAGCAGGAGAGAGGAAACGUGCCCUUUGCAGCAGGGGCCGUUGUGCUGGCAUUACCCAUCGCAUCCACUGCUGCUGUGGUCCUUUCUUUCCUUUGGGCAGUUGGCUGUCUCUCAAGGUGUUGUCUACAAUAGGUGCUUGUUUGUGUAUCCAUGUGAGGCUGUUGAAUAAAAUUCCUACCUCUGUGUUCUGCUCUGGGUGCGUGGUUUUCUUGCCUCUGCUCCUGAGGCAUCCCGACUGUCGGAUCCAAACGUACCC